RNAcentral lists this ribosomal RNA (324 nucleotides) under uncultured eukaryote. RNAcentral's name for it is "partial 18S ribosomal RNA". It matches the Rfam family "Eukaryotic small subunit ribosomal RNA", at positions 1470 to 1796 of the family's 1831-position model. The record is from RNAcentral.
CCCCUAGAUGCUCUGGGCCGCACGCGCGCUACACUGGUCGAUGCAACGAGUUUCUUUCCUUGGCCGACAGGCCUGGGCAAUCUUUGAACAUCGAUCGUGAUCGGGAUAGAUUCUUGUAAUUUUUGAUCUUAAACGAGGAAUUCCUAGUAAACGCAAGUCAUCAGCUUGCAUUGAUUACGUCCCUGCCCUUUGUACACACCGCCCGUCGCACCUACCGAUUGAAUGGUCCGGUGAAAUCUCCGGACUGGCGUGAGUCGGAGCAAUCUGACAAACACCGGAAAGUUGAUUAAACCUUACCAUUUAGAGGAAGGUGAANUCGUAACA